This 27603-nucleotide long non-coding RNA is filed under the name Populus trichocarpa (black cottonwood). Its description in RNAcentral is "long non-coding RNA (PTRI_LNC003791)". The record is from RNAcentral. Lineage: Eukaryota; Viridiplantae; Streptophyta; Magnoliopsida; Malpighiales; Salicaceae.
UUUUUUAUAUACUAGAAUUGAUAAAUUAACCCUAAAAUCAUAUUUUCUAAGCUUUUGCAUUUAGGGGUGUUUUUUUUCCAUUUCCUAUAGGUUUUUCUGUUAUUAUUAGUUGGGUUAAGGGCGAUUAAUUCUUUUUCUAUUUUAAAAAAAUAUCAAGAAAAAAGUUGAUAAUACAUGCUACACAGGUGCUAGUGUGUGGAACAGCUCCGCCCUCUUUGAACGACACUUGAACCAUCGUCCGAUAAAGAACAUCAACUUCCAUCACGGUAUUUAAAACUACACAAGGCUCUCUUCACAUGGAGUUGCCCUUUUUUUUUUUUUUCCUCUUCUCUCUCUCUCCUUCAAAUUGAAUUUAGUGAUGACCAUUAAAAAAAUCAAAUUUGUCCUUUUAUUUUAUGACAUUUCAUAUUUGUCCCUCAAUGUUUUGAUUUCUAAUUUAAUUCUUAGCUCUUUUAUUAUAUUUUAACUUAUUUUUAAUUUCAUCCUUGAUUUUUAAUUUCUUCAAGUUUGGUCUUCAUUCACUUGAUUUUUAUUUUUAAUCUGGAUUCUUUUAUGAAUUUAAUUUUACCUUUCAAUUCAAUUUUUUAUGAUAUUUAAAGUUAGGCACUCAAUGUUUUGAUUUUAAAUUUUGAUUCUUAACCCUUUUAUAAAAUUUUAAUUUUUUUACAAUUUCAUCAUUGAAUCCAUAAUCUUGGUUUUUAUUUUUCAAAUUUGAUCCUUGUUCUCCUGUUUUUUACCUUUUGUUUUGGAUUCUUGUGUUAAUUUCAUUUUUCUUUUUAAUUUUACCCUUUAAUUUAAAAAUUGAUGACAUUUAAGUUUAGGCCCUCAAUGUUUUGAUUUUAAAUUUUAAUUCUUAACCCUUUAACCAAAUUUUAAUUUGUUUUCAAUUUCAUCAUUGGAUUCAUAAUUUUAAUUUUUUAUUUUUUCAAGUUUGGUCUUUAUUCUCUUGAUUUUUAUUUUUAAUUUGGAUUCUCUUGUGAAUUUAUUUUUUCUUUUUUAUUUUUCCAUUUCAUUCAAAAUUUUAGGCCAUGCUCCUAUUUUUUGGAAGUUGAAUCGAGGCAAGUAUCGGUCCCAGUCAAAUAUAUUGUUUUCUAUUUUAUAAAUAAAGUAAGGAUGACAUCAUUUUGAAAAAAUAAAUGAAACUAGUCAAUAAUUUUUUACCCGGUCUUGACUAGGUUUGCCACGGGUUGAUCAAGUUACAGGUCAACUUGUGUUUUUUAUUGUUUCACAAUGGGUCAAUUCUCCUCAAAUUUCUUUUGAAACCCGACCCACCCUAAACCCCGGGUCACCCGAGUCACGGAUCAACCCAUUGUUCGCUAUCUAUUAGGUUAUACUGUUUACAUGACCCCUCUCGCGAGUUUUGGCGAUCUCACCUGGAUUUGUUGGUGCUUUAUUUUUAAAAAUUUAUUUUUAUUAACUAUUUUUUUUCAAUUUUAUCCUUAUAUGUUUGGAUUCUUGAGGAUUGGUAAUUUUCUCACUUUUUUUUAUAGUGUCUAAGUCAUGAAUUUUUUCUAUUAAACAUUGUUUUUUUACGUUAUAAAAAAUUUAGCUCCUCUAAUGUCUAAGUCAUGAAUUUCUUCUCUCUUCUUUAAAAUACAUUAAAAGAGCUUAAAUAUUAUUAUUUUUAUAUUACAAAAAAUUUAGCACGAUACGCAACAAAGAGCAAAAAACCAAUCUAAUUAUAUACCAUAAAGUCUUAGCAUGAAUAGUUUUUCUUGAUCAAUUGAAGACUUAUUUUAGUAUUAAUGUCAGAAAACUCCAUAAAAUAAUAAUAGGAAAACACCCUUUUUAAAAGAAAAAAUAAUUCCUUAUUUACUUCUUUUUUCAAUUUAGAAGAAGGUUGAAACUCAAAACCCUUCGAGAAGGGAAAAGUACAAAACAUUUGACCUAACCAACUGGUGCCCAUAUAACCAAUAUUAUCAUGCGGCUUUGUACAAGACGUUUUUUCAACCGCACUCGUCGUUGAAUUUUCUAAUCAUGCAUUUGCAACACGUCCAACAUAAAAUGAAAACGCCUAACAUACAUACAUAAUAAAUCAAGAUUUUAUAGGUAUAUAUUUAUUAAAUAAUACCGGAUUAAGAAAAACUUACGAGUAUAAAUUUUUUCAAACACGAACACGUCUUAAUAAAGAUGUAUUGGGUCUACCGCUAGCCAGACCCAGCUACAAUUGAGCGUAAUAAUGUGCCGAGCCUCAGGCGUGAUAGGUUUAGUGCUAGCCAAAUCUAGUCAUGGCUGGGCUUGACAGUAGCGCCAGACCCAACCACAAAUGGAUUUAACAGUGUAUCUAGCCCAAACAUUGGUCAAACCUAAAAGAUGAUUGAAUCUAACACCAUCAAUUCUAUAUGUUUUUUUAUAUAAAAUCACAGAGGAAUUAUUUCUCAACAAAUAAGUUUAAUUAAACAAAUCUAUACUCCACAAAGAUCAUUAGUUUUAUUAAAGUCUUUCAUGGCCAGCAAUGUCACUAUGUCGCUAUAUAAAAUGAAUGGAAUACAACUCAUAAUAUCACAAAGGUAAAAAAUUACACUUUAAUCUUUUCUUUCUAUAAAAGUACAAGAUUUAUGGGUUAUAAAUUCAUCAUGUGAUAUUUAUAAUCUUUAUUUUUUAUUACAUAUAUACUUUCAGAGUAUAUUUUUUUAGAAUAUUAUUGUAUUUUUUUUAAAAAAAAUACUUAUUUAAAUGAAAAAGAAAACAAAAUUAAAAAAGCAAAUUUGUUGGCCUAGCCGUAAGUGUUGUGCACAUCAUAGACUAGGCUUUUGUUAAAUACUUGUUAAACCAUUGAAACUCCCUGUCCUUGAACUUUAAAUAACAGCCAUCAUUGAUGGGGUGGAUCAUUAUGGGGAUGGUGUUUUGGAGUAGUGAUUUUUGUCAAAAUUCUUUGUUUCGGCAAAUGGGCAGGUUACUUGAUUUUUUUUUUUAAUAAUUAUGGAUGUUCAAGUCAGUUUACAUACACCUCGAUUAAUCUCUCAAGACUCUUAAGUUAACGAUUAAGUAAGUUUCCAGUAACCUUAAAGUUUAUAGCAUUCAAAUUUGUAAUUUUUAGAAAAUAAACCUAAAAUUUAACUAAUUGAGUUAUAUCACUCGAAAUUAAGUUACUCGAUUUUAAAAAAAAAUAUUAAUGUGGGUAUUCGAGUCAGCUUGCGUGCACCUUGAUUAAUUUCAUGGGCCCUGAAGUUAACGAUCAUGUAAACCUCAAGUAGCCAUCAUAUUAGUAAUCACAUGAUUCGAACAUGAAAUUAAAUAAAAAGUUAACUCUUUAAUUCUAAAUUUUUAUCACUGAAUUAUCUACGGCUAAGUUACUCGAUCUCUUUUUUUUUAGUUUAACGUGGGUGUCCGGGCCAGCUUGCACGCACCUCGACUAAUCCCGCGAGCCCUGAAGUUAACGACCAUGUAAGCCUCCAGUGGCCAUCAUAUGAGCAACCACAGGGCUGAAACCUGAGACCACAGAGGAAGCAAAAGUUACUCGAUCUCUUUUUUUUUUGUAGUUUAAUGUGGGUAUUCGGGCUAACUUGCGUGUACCUCAACUAAUCCCACGGGCCCUAAAAUUAACAACAAAAAGUUACUCGAUCUCUUGUUCUGUCAGGUUGUGGUCGUGUUUUCUUGCAAGUUUUGACCCUCGCUCGAUGAUAGUACGUUCACCAGCUGUUGUGUUGACUAUGUUGUUAGAUAAGGACCUCCACAUCAAGAGGUUCUUAUGAACAAAUUAUUUAUUGUGGAGGAGAGCAAUGGUCAAUGAUGCCUGUGGAACUUUCAGAUUCAGUGUUCUCUAGUGAUAAAUCAAGCUUAAAAAAUUCCGAUGAGAUCUAUCGUUACAGAGAGAUUCAACAUUUUUUUUUUUCAUUUUAUACUGUUAGGGUUGAGCUGGAAGUGGGUAUUUUCUAUUCAAGCUUGUUGUGGCAUUUCUUGUCUAAAUAGUGUUUGGAAAUGCGAACGAAGCUGUAUUUUUAAAAAAAUUAAAUUUUUUUAAUUUUUUUAUAUUUUGGAUCGUUUUAAUACGUUGAUUUCAAAAAUAAUUUUUAAAAAUUAAGAAAAUAUUAUUUUAAUAUAUUUCAGCAUGAAACGCACUUUGAAAAAUAACCGCAAUCACACUCUAUUUUAGUUACUUACAAAAAAGAGUCAUCUCCUCGUUGUAGUAUUAUUUAUUUUUCAAUACUUUAACCCAUGCAAGUAUCUUUAAGCAUAGUUAUCAAGUAAAACUUAGUUAAUUUAAUAGAUUAAUAAUUUAUAAUUUAUAAUACAACUAAUUAUUUCAAAUUUAUAAUUAAAUACUAAUAUUUAAGAAAGUAAUUAAAUGGAUGCUUACUUUAUUUUGCUUUCUAUUGACGAUCCUUACUUUAUUUCUACUAGAUUAAAUGGAUCCUUACUUUUACCAAAGGUUCAUUCCUUUAUUUGGCUUGCUAUUCAAAUCUGUAUUUCUACUAGAUCCUUACUUUUUUGCCGCAGAUUAAUUCUUAAGGACGAAGCUUAAUGUCCUUUUUGUGAUAGCGAACUUGAGACUUCAGAUCACCUUCUUCUUCAUUGUCUAGAUGUGUUCAUAAUUAACCAUAGAUUAAAUACAACUAAUUAUUUCAAAUUUAUAAUUAAACAAUCCAAUUAAUAAUUCCGAGCAAAAUCCACGGUGAGAAGUGUUUAGAGAAUUAUGCCAUGAUGAUAUUGGAAUGAAGAAUGUUUAAAGAGCUUAUUAUUUAAAGAUAUCAAGAUUAUUAAAUACAUGGAGAUUCUUGUGGAGAUCAUAUUUGGAGACGUGAAGAAUUUAUUUAGAGGUAUGCAAUUUUUUUUAAAAAGAUACGGAGAUUUUAUCGUAGACAUUGAUAUUUUGUUUGGUGAUGUGGAGAUUUUUGUUAAAAACAUGGAGAUUUUAUUUAGAAAUUUAGAGAUUUUCAUUGGAUAUAUGGAGAUUUCAUUUGAAGAUAUAAAGAUGAGCAAUGUUAUGGAAAAAAAUAUAUGGAGACUACUUGAAGAGUAAUAUUGGUUUGUUUAUUGAAAAGCUCAAAACAUUAUUUUACGCAAGUGGAGAUAUAAUCCUUGGAACCUAUUUUAUCUCAAAUAAUAUAUUUUGGGAUACACCGACCUCUUUUCCUUUUGUUUAGGUUGCAUUUCUUUGUUUAUAAAGUGUUGGAGAUAACAACUAGCGAUCAAUCUUUUUAUUUUUUUAGGAAAUGACAAUUCUCAGUAUCAUACCCGUUGUUAUGGUGAAAAGAAUAAAAUUUGUUAGGGUUUCUUGUGUUCUCAAACAAAUUCAUUUUAUUAAGUACAUUGAAAAUCAUAUCUAAAAUGAAAAUACAUUAGAUCCCCAAAUGAAGGCAUAAGAAUUAUAGAAAACAUUAAAACACGCAGGGAAAAUAUUGUAGCCCCAAACACUAUAACUCCACUCACAUAGUGAAUUGUUUUUCAUUUUGAUCAUCAAACUUUUUAUCUAGACAAUUGCAUCCUUUUAUGGCCAAAUUUAAGGCUAAUUGCUUUAAAUUUAUUAAGAAAGGGCAAGAUUGAAAGAAAGGACACCAAAGUGAGAAAAACAAAGAAAAUAGUUGGCAAUUUUGAAAUUAGGCCGAAAAGUUCACUUUUGUAUUCCUACUUUUUAAAUGAUAAACUUUUGGUCCCUCGAGAUUUUAAAAUUCAAUUAUUGUUCAAAAAUCUAUUUUCUUUAUUUUUUAGUUCUUGGUUUGAGAGGGGUAGAGAGAUUGGGUGAAUUUCGGUGAAAGAGAGAAAGCCUAGUUGACAUUGUUUCUGGCCAAGAAAAAGAUCAAUUUUGGUAUUAACGGGUUUCAUUCGAUGAGGGGAGUUUUACUUAUGUGUUCUUUAUUUUUCCUAUAGCCUGAGAACAUAGAUCUAAGCUUGAAAAUAGUUUUUUUUAUUUCAUGUUGAUUUUGGGUUUUUGAAUUGUUUUUUUGGUUGUUUGAGGUAAUAGAUGGGUUUGCAAAGGUGUAUGGCAGUGUUUUUUAUAUGUUUUGGUUUAAAAUAGGUUAAAAAAUAAAAUUUUUAGGAAAGAAAAUCCAUCGCUUGAUUUUUUAAAGACCCUCGGGUCGCCUAAAAUUAGGCUAAAAGUUGAUGCAUGGUCUACCAUAACACGUGAAAUGUCGUGUACUUAUUCUUUUUCAAAAAUAUUUAGAGUAGACAAGAGGUCGUAUGUCCUUUUAAAAAAAUAAAAGUUAGUCUAAGCUCGCAUGCCUAAGCCUUUUGCUUUUGGUCUAUUGGUUUUUUUUUUUAUCAUUUGUUUUUAUUUUUAAUUUCAUUCUUAAAUAUUAGAUUUUAAUCAAAAAAAUUAUAGGCUAUUUUUUUAAUUUUAACAAGAUUUUAUGAUUUUUUUAAUAAAAUAUGAUUUAGUUUUUAGUUUACGAAUAAGAUUUUAAAAUAUUUUUUUUUAUAUUAAGAGUAUUCUUUAUAUGUAAUCCUAUUUAUUUUUGUUCUUUAAUUAAUUCAGUUGCUUUUCUAUGCAUUUUUUUUUAAUUUUAUUAAAUGAAAAAUGAGUUUAAAUAAAUAAAAUUAUUAAAUAUAAUCAAGUCUAUGACUCGUGUUUUAAAAUCAUAUAUCUACAUCAACAUUUAUCUUUUAUUUUUUUCAAUUUAAUCUUUGAUUAAAUAUCAUUUAGUUUUUAGUUGGUCUUCAGAUAUAAUCAUAAUAUAUAUUUUUUUAAUAUGUACAAACUAACAUCAUUUCUUUUUUUAUUUUAUUCAAUAGUUUAAUUAAAUAAAAAAUUAAUUGUAAAUGGUCACGUAAAUUACUCCGAAAAUAAUUAAGGAUUAUGUGUCCUUAAAUCUACAAUGAAGCCCAAAGUCUUGUUGGGCCAUUCAAACAAUUUUUUUGUUGACCAUUUGGGCUCAAAGAAAAGAGAAGAAGUCAAAUUAAAGUGUCGUCACCCUCCACCAACGGCGCCUGCGACGAAGGGUUUGGUGGUUCCAAUGUAUGGAAUCCCGUGAAAUGCUGACCGGACAUCAUGAGCUGAUCGGCAUUUACCUGUUCUACUUUUUUGCCCUCAUCACUUUGCCGUCGUGGAGGACACUAGUUUUUUUAAAUCAGAACAAUGAUCUAAUUUUCUGAAAGAAUAGAGUUAAAAAAGGAAAAUGAGUGUUUGUUUAAAUAUAAUAUUUUUUCAUUUCAAAAAUUUUAAAACUAGUUUUUUAUUUUUUAAAAUUUAUGCUGGAUUUGAAACAAGAAUUUAAAUAUAGUUUUUAAAUGAAAAACAAAAUAUGAACAGUAUAAUAUUUUCAGUUAGUAGUAUAAAUUUUAAAAUUUUCUUUUUUUUUAUUAAAAAUUUAACAUAAAAGAUUUAUUUUUUUAGUUCAUAUGUUUAACUUUUUUAUGAUGAUUUUUAAUUUGAAUGAAAUGAAAUUAAUAAUUUAUAAUUAGAUUAUCACAAAUACAAAAUAUUAAUAUAACUAUUAUAAAUUUUUAUUUUUAUUUAUUUUAAAAUAGUUGUAAUCAAGAAAGUUUCUUUUUUUUUUUAUGGAAAAUUAUCCAUAGAAAAUAUUAAUAUAACUAUUAUAAACUUAUUUUUAGAAAUUUGAUAGGAAAAAAGAGCAUUUGGAGAAUAAAUAUCAAUGGAUAUUGUACAAUUUAGAAAAAAAACUUAAAGGAUUAAUUUAGUGAUUAAUGAGGUAUACUAUUUUCCUUGAUUUUAAAACUUCAAACCCUAAAGUUAAUUAUCUUGCAAACGGCAACUUAUUCUAUAUCCUAGUAAAAAAAAAAAUAUCAAGAUGAUAAUUAGAUAUAUAGUAGUCUCGAAUAAAUUUACCUUUUUCUUGUAAGAGAAAAGAUAACCUUGAUUUAUUUUUUGGUUGAAAUUGGGGCUAAACGUUCAAUUAAAUUAAACGCGGCAGAGUUGAUCCAAUCAGAUCAUAAUACAAAUACAAUAAAGAUCCACGGAAGAGUCAUUAAGGGAAAUAGAAAAUCUAUCAAAACAACUCCUAAUUAAAUCAUAAUUAGCCAGCUAAUCUGUCACUGAAUUUGCUUGUUUUUGUAGACAUGGUUCACCUGAACAUCCUAAUUUUUUACUAAUAAAUCUAAUAAUUCUCUGCAUGAUUAUAAAAACCUUGGUGAAUAAUUUUUACAUGCACAGAAACAAGAGAAGCCAGUGGAUAUUGGCAUCAUAUAAUGUCUGCGUGUGUUCUGCGUGUGUUCUGAUCGCGUCGAGUUAGACUAUGGAGCCAAGUAUUUUUUAAAAUGUUUUUGAAAUAAUGUUUUUUAAAAUUUAAAAUUUAUUUUUUUUUAAUUUUUUAAUUGAUUUGAUGUGAUAAAUUUAAAAAUAAUUUUUUAAAAAUAUUAUUUUAAUAUAUUUAUGAGUAAAAAUUACUUUGAAAAACAACUAUUAUUAUAUUCUUAAACACGUUCUAAAUAUACCUUCUUUUCAACUAGAAAAAAGGAUUAGAGUGGGUUUAGAUUUGACUAGAUUAUUAACCUGUGCAACAUUGCAAAUCAAGUUAAUUUUUUUUUAAAUAUAAAAAAUAUUUAAAUAUUGCUAAUGUUUUUUUUACUAGUGGAAAAAAAAUUUAAAAUCAUGUGGGGAUUGACCUGGUAUAAUUUGGUUAACUUUACAAGUCUAAAACAACUCGGACGACUCGUAAAAAUAUAAUUUGACUAAAAACAAUCAAAAUGACAUCUUUUUUUAAUAUUAAGAUAACAAUAUAUCGGAUUGAUUUAGAUCAACCCGGGUUAAUAUAUUAAAUCCAUUAUCUGGGUUACAAGACUAUGAUAACCUCAUAAAAAACAAAUAAAAAAAAAUUAUGAAAUUUAAUUCUCAAUCAAUUUAAUGUUGAAGGAUUAAAUUAAAAAAAAUCAAUUAAAAAAUAAUCUAAAAAAGUCAUUUUUGAUUGUUUUUUUUACUAGUGCAUGAUUCCCACAAGCCACCAUUGCUUAAUCUAGUUCCAACAGCUUCUACAACAGCUUCUACUUGAUGUUAACAACUUUCUAAAGUCAUUUUUGCACCUUGAAUAAAUUAGUGCUUGUUUUGAAUAAUUCUCUAUGUAUUAUUAAAUUCUAUAUGAAAUACAUGGAAUUCUUGAAGUUUUGGGGUUCACGUCGUUGUGUGGUGACCCUGGGUAUGAAAUGAAUUAACUGAUAUGUAACAGUUUAGUCUUAGUGUGAUAUAUAUAUAUAUAUAUAUAUAUAUAUAUAUAUAUAUAUAUAUAUAUAUAUAUAUAUAUAUAUAUAUAGUUUAGUCAUGUGUGUGUGAAUAAUUUAUUAUUUCUGUGAUUUGGUGUGAUUCGUAUAUCCUAAUUAGGUUUUUCCUCUAAUAUCGUAUUAAGGAUAAAUAAACUCUUGUGUAUAAAUAUUGAUACCACUGUAUAUUUUUUUAUGUUUCUUACUUUUUUUAAUUAUUUGUUUUUUUCUCUCGUAACUCAAGAUUGACAUAGAAAUUAUAAAUCCUAAUUAGGUUUUGUUAGUAUGCAUGCAACCAAUCAUCUAAUGUUUUGAUGAUAAAAAAUAUUAUUAAUGUUUUAUGAUCUUGAUAUGUGAUCGAUUUAAUAUAUGUUUAUGUAUGGUAUCAAAUUUUGAUGAUAAUAUAAUAUGUGACUGAUAUUGUUUAAUGUAUAUGUUUUACAUUGAUGUUUUAAACUAACAUAAAUUAGUGAUGUUUUGAUUGACUUUAUUCGUUGUAUUGAAACAUAAUGUAUAUGUUUUACAUUGAUGUCUAUAUGAAACAUGCAUUAGCGCUUGAGUAAAAUGAUGAUUAAAUACAAUGUCGAGGUAUAUGUAAGAGUUAGGAUAAAUAGUUUUACUUGCAUUGUAUGUUGCAUAAGAUUUGUGAUGAUUUAGACAUGUUUCAAGAGAAUGAAAUCAUUCAAGGAAAUCAUCAAAGAAGCAAAGCAUAGAUGCAUGAAGUGACUUUCAUACCUAAAAAACCUAAUUAAACUCAAAUAAGAAUCUUGAUGUAAUAACGACUUUCAACUUUAAAAAUCAAGAUCUUAUAAAGAGAGUUUUUUAAAUAACUUUCAAUUUGUUUAGGAAUCAACUUUCAUACCCAAAAAACCUAAAUAAACUCAAAAGGACACAAGAACAAAGAAAAGACUGAAACACACAAAACAAGAGAAAAGUUAUAGUAGCUACAUCAGUCUGACCAAUUUGGAGAAAUAACUAGUUGUUUCUAAAAAAAAUCAACUGGUUUAUGGAAAUUUCAAAUUUUGUUCAAGUUUUUUAAAAUGAUCCAACCAAUUUUGAUAAUGGUCUAAUUGAUUCUUCAAUGGGCAUAAAUAUUUUGGAAGUUAUUUCUAAUGACUAGUUUGAUCUUUAAGCCCUAUAAAUACACUUUUCUUCAACAAAAUUAUCAAAAACAUCAAAGAAAAAAUUAUAAUCAUAUCUUUAUUCAUAUACAACCUCUUACAACCUUUUUUUUAAUUAAAAACACUUGAGAAAGCCUUUAAAAGGCUAUUUGAGUGGUUUAAUACUUGUCCAUCUACAAAUGUUAUUGAGAAAGGUUUCAAUCUUUGACAUUUGAAAAAGAUUGUGUAAAUAUUUAAUCCUUAGCCUAUGCAAAAGGACUAAGUUUGAUCUUGAGCCUAUAAAAAAAUUAGGUUAGAUCCUAAACCCAUAAAAGAAUUGAGAAAGGUUUCAAUCUUGACCCUGUAAAACUAUUGUGAUAGGUUUGAUCUUAAGCUUGUAAAAAGAUUGAGUUUGAUCUUGAGUUCGCAGAACGAUUGGGUUAAACCCUAAACCCAAAAAAAGACUCGAGAAGGUGUUCAAUCUUUCACCUGUGAAAAAUACUGUGUAAAGGUUUGGUCUCACCCGUUAAGAAGAUUGUGUGUGAUAGUAAACUCUUGAAUGGUGAUUCAAGGAGAGGAGUAGAUGAUUACUCGAACCUCUGUAAAAAUCUCGGUACACACUCUCUUAACUUCAUCUCCUUACUUAUUAUGUUGAUUAUUUUGGUGCAUAUUUAAUUUUAUUUCUAUUAUUGUUUCAGCUUAUUUGUAUUAAUCAUUAGGUUGUGUUAUAUAUAUUGUUUUAAAUUAAGAAAAGGCUUUUUAAUUGGCAACCUAAUUCGCCUCCUUUAGGGUUUACCUAGACUUUCAGGUUUUUCCUUCAAUGUCACAUUAAGGAUAAAUACGAACGUGUAUGUAAAUAUCACUGUUUAUAUAUGUUUUUGUAUUUUUUUUCCUUUUUCAAUGAUUAUAUUCUUAUAAUCACUCAAAAUCAGCUCAGAAAUUGUAAAUUUCAAUUAGGUGUUUCCUCAGAUGACACGUUAAGGGUAAGCGAGUUUAUAUCCAUGAUUAUUAUGUAAGAAUCUAUUUUGUGUUUUUGGUCAUCUUCCUGAUAUUAUAAGUGAAUUUAGGUUGGAUUGACACGAUCUGACAUAGACUUAUAGAAAGUGAGUAGAGACCUCGAAUCCAUUAUUGGAUAUGAACAAUUAGAAUGGGCCUAAACCCAAUAAUCCAUUAUUAUCCUCUCGGGUUCUAUAUCUCAGAAAAUAAGAUUAGGCCCUGUUGUAGGGACUAGGUCCGAAAUCAUUACCUUAGAUUUUAGUAGUCGUAUACCUUUAAACAACAAGAGCAUCUAUAACUUAGACAAGCUUUUAGUACAUAUGCAUAAUAGGUACUUUUAUAAUUAAAAAUAAACACAUAGCAUCUUACUUUAGAUAAGAUUCUUUGGGGUGGUUUUCAUAUUAUUUUUAGCAUAAUUAACCCCUUACCUAGAUUCUCUUAAGAUCAAUUGGGGUUUUUGGUUACCAUAAACUAGGUGGUGACUUUUUUUUCUAAUUUUAUCUCUAUCAGUCCUCAUCAACUCGUCAAGAUAUCCCCUGUGACACUCUAAAAAUAUAUCACAUGUUUUUCAAUGAUUAAUUCACGAAGCCAACUUAAAAAAAUCUUAAGGAAAAAAAAAACAUCUUAGAAUUAGCUAGAAAAAGUAGCAAAUUUUAGUGCUUUUGUAAAGUGUUUAAUAUUUAAGAUGUACAAUGUAAUUCAUGAUCAGUGAUUAAAAAAUCAAGAAAUUAGUGUUAAUAAUUAAUAAUAAAUAGAAUAAGAAAGCUUUUUUAUUAUGAUAUAUAUUGAAUUGAUCUUUAUAUAAAGAUCUAAGACUAUUUUAAUUCUUUUAUAAUGUAGUACUAGAUCUUUGUCCCACACUAUGUUGUAGGUCGAAUCAAAUGUUUUUUUUCGAGAAAAGGUAAGAAGGCGUUGCUAAUAUGUUUUCUAGUUAAAAUAGUUAAUCAUGAACUCAAAAUUCAAUGCAUAGUAGAUGACACUUUUUGAAAUACCAAGAAGGUGACAUACUGGACAAUAUUUUUUAAAAAUUAUUUUUGAGACAACGAUAUAUUGAAUCGACUUGAGCCAACCCUAGUUAACCCAUAAAAUUAAUGACCUGAGGAUGAAACCCUAAUAACCCUAUGAAAAGCAAACCAAAAUAAAUCACAAAACUCAAUUCUUAAUCAACCUAAUGUUAAAGGGAGAAGUUAAAAAAAAGAUAAAAAAAACAUCUCGAGUCACCUAGGUAAACUUGUGAAACUAACGAUCUAGGUCCUGAUAAUGAGAUAACCUCAUGGAAAGAAAAACAAAUUAUAAAGUCAACUUCUAACCAACCCAAUAUUGAAAGAUAAAAUAAAAUAAAAAAUUCAAUUAAACAAAGAAUAAAAAAAAUCCAAGCCAAACCCAACCUAUAUCAACCCGGGUUUACUUGUCAAACCUGUUAUAAGAUUGAGAUCACCCAUAUAAAACAAAUUAAAAAAAAUUAUGAAAACUAAUUCUCACCUGACCCAAUAUUGAAGGAUGAAAUUGAAAAAUAAAAAUAAAAAGAGGACAAAAAAAUAGCAAUAAAAAGAAUAGGGACCAAAUUUGACAUUAAAAAAAUCUUACAUACCACUAGGCAUGUAAACCGGGAAAAGAAGGGAGGAGAAAGGAAAAAAGAAAGGGCGUCAGAGCUACACUAAACUAUCAUCACCGCCACACGCCGCCUCAUGAGGAAGCCGCCUCCGAGACAAUUUCAAAGACAGCAAGGAAGGCUACCGUUGGAUCCUAAAGGAAGCCACGCGCACCACCACAUCCCGUCAACAUGCUUCACUCUUGCCAUCCAACCUCCAUUUUAGUCCUUAGCUUAAAAAAAAAAGGUCUAAAAUCCAAUCUCUAAAGAUUCAAUUAUUUCAAAUCAAUAAAAUUACAUUUUGUUUUAUUAAACUAAGCACCAGCUGAUCUUCAAAUUUAUUUCCCCAACAUCGCGAGAACUCAAUACCAAACCAGCCAAAAUAAACCAUCAUGAACCCUGAGGGGUAGCUUAAUUGGUCAGACUUUGGGCUUGCUCCCCAAUGAUCACGAAUUUGAAUCCUAUCAGGGUCACUGAAGGCUUACAUGGUCGUUAACUUUAGAGUCCGUGGGACUAAUUGAGAUGCGCGCAAGCUGGCCCGGACACCUAUAUUAAUAAAAAAACAAAAAAAAAACUAUCAUGUCUAAUUUCACAUUAACUUAAUGUUAAAAGAUAAAAUUGAAGAGAGAGAUGGUGCUUUAGUUUCUUUAUAAUAUUAAUAUUAUAUGUCAAAACGUGAAAAGUGGUUUGAAUCUGUAACUUCUGCGAAAGUAUGAUAAACUCAUUAUCAUUGAGCUCUCCCGGACUGUUUCGUAGCAUGGUAUAAAAUUAAUGUUAACUUGUCCCGAAUGAAACAAUAGAGAGAAAACAGGAAGAAGGUAACAAAUAUUCCAAGCACCAUGAAAAUUGGCAAUUGCCAGUGUGGGAGAAGAUUCUUCUCCACCGAAGGAACCUGCUUGUGAUGCUUGUUCUAUAUUGGAAAAAUACAACUGCCAAGUGAUGACAGAAGAUAAAGAAGAACCUCAGGCCCCCAUAAAAGCUAUGUCACGGAUUCAACUCAGCAGCUUCAGAGAAAUAUUGCAUUGCAAAGGAAAGCGGUUUCACAAGUGAAUAAUCCCAACUCAGCCAUGAGUAGCUAAUGUUCUUUCCUCUUGGUUGCAAAGAAUGAGAUCCUUUCUUAGAUGGAAGAUUGAUCAGUUGCAUAAGUUCUAUGCAUUAUAUAUAUAUAUAUAUAUAUAUAUAUAUAUAUAUUGUUUCAUAGCAUGGGAAUUAGAUUAUUGACUUGCAAUAAGUUGUAGCAAAGAUAAAAAAUAUUAAUGUAAAGAAAAUAUCUAGGUGUUGCUAAUGUUUUUUUUUUAAUUUUAAAAAAUGUAAACUAUAUGGGGAUUUAUUCGAUGUGACUCGGUUGCCUUGACGAGUCCAAAUGCAACCUGAAUGACAGGCAAAAAUAUAGUUUGACUCGAAAUAAAUAUUUAAGUGUGUGUGUGUAUUCUCUCGGCCUGUUUCAUAGCAUGAGAAUUAGAUGAUACUGGAUUAUUGACCUGCGCUACGCUAUAGAUCGGAUAAAAAUAUUAAUGUAAAGAAAAUAUCUAAAUGUUGCUAAUGUUUUUUCCAAUUUUAAAAAAUGUAAACUAUGUGGGGAUUUAUUCGAUGUGACUCGGUCACCUUGACGAGUUCAAUGCAACCUAAAUGAUAGGUAAAAAUAUACUUUGACUCGAAAUAAAUAUUUAAGAUGAGAUUCUUUUAAUAAACAUUAGAACGACAACAUGUUGGAUUGAUUCGGAUCAACUUAAGUUAACUUGCUAGUUCGCAUACCAAGUCAUGAAAUCAUGAUAACCUCAUAAAAAAUAAAUUAAAAUAAAUUACGAAACUUAAUUUCCAACAAACUUAAUGUUGAAUGAAGAAAUUAAAAAAAAAAAAUUAAAAAAACACAAAAAAGAUAACCCGAGUCAAUUUGUAUUAACCUGCCAAACAUGUGACCCAAAUUAUGAGACCAUGAUAACCUAAUAGAAAGCAAAUAGAAAUAAAUUAUGAAACUCAAUUCUUAAUCAACUCAGUGUUGAAAGAUAAAAUUUAAAAAUAAAAUAAAAUAAAAAGAUAAAAAAGCGACUCGAGUCAACCAAAGUUAACCCGCCAAACCCAUGACCAAAAUCAUGAGAUGAGGAUAACCUCAUAGAAAGCAGAUCAAAAUAAAUUAUGUAGUUUAAUUCUCAAUCAAUCCAAUGUUGAAGAAUAAAAUUGAAAAAAUAAUAAUUAGAAAAAUAAGAAAAAAAACUUGAGUUAAUCUGUUAUACCCACAGUCCGGAUUUAAGAUAGCCUCAUAAAAAAUAAAUUAAAAAUAAGUUAUAAAGUCUAUUCCUCAAUAAAUUUAAUGUUAAAGGAUAAAAUUAAAAUUAAAAAAAUAUAAAUUAGAAAAAAAAACACAUUAUUUUAAUAAAUAGUAUUAUAUAAGGAGAGGUAUAGUAAAAAUCCUCUCCUUUAGUUUUUUGUUAUUAAGCCAAUUACCAUCAUUAUGCUACGGAUGAGAUUUGAAGUUAUUUUUUUAACGAAAUAGAAAAGUAUGCUAAUAUUAUGAAUAUGUUUUUUUACAUUAUGUAAAGUUUUCAUUCAAAAUUAGAAAGUUGAUGUGUGCGUGCUUAAUGGAAUAAAAUAAAAAUUAUACAAACUAAUAAAUCAUUAAAAAAAUUGUGGGAAGCUUAAAGAUAGGUGCAUCCAAUAAUAUUUGUUCCAUGAUGUGGAGCACUCUUUAAAUCUUUCUUUUAUUUAAUUAUAUGGUAAUAAAAAUAGAUUUUCAUCAUAAAUAUAAUAAUUUAUAUUUUGUAAAAGAAAUAAUUGUCAGUAAAAUUUCUUUUUUUAUUAAUUUAUAAUUUUUAAUAAAAAAUAUACACUACUAGAAUUUGAAAAAUACCAACGAAAUAUUCCAUUAAUAUUUAGAAAAAAACUCCAUCAUUAUUAGAAUUAUUGAUGAAAUAUUUCCAGUAAAAAUAUUUUAUCGACAAGUAUAUCAUCGAGGAUUUACCUUUUAUCGACAACUUUCAAUUGAGACAAAAAUAUCAAUGAAAUAUUAUUCUAACAUGGUGACAAACUUUUAGCUAAAGAAUGCGAAGGUCUUUCCUCAUGUAAACCUCUCACCGUAAAAUUCAAGAACACCAACAAUGAUAGAAUCAAACUCACCCCACCCACCACAACUUUUUCCUUAUGGACAAAGCCAUAUAGAUCCUAAAAUAGUCUAAAAGGACAUGAAACAACCUACUCCACCACCGCAAAUGUUAAUUCAAACCAUCAACACAAGUUAAUUACUAAAAAAAUAGUUUGCAUGAGAUAAACAAGAUAAAGCAACAACAAUGCAAGGUCCUAAAAUAGUUGUCAAAUUUUCUCGGUAACCAAACAGGAAAAAAAUCAGAAAAAGAAGAUAAACAAACAAAACCAUUACCUAAAUCAUGACACGAAAAUGUUAGAGAGUAGGGGAAAAUAUAGGGGACAUGGGAAAAUUAGGGAUUUCAAUCAAAAGAAGAAGAAGAAGAAGAAGAAGAAGAAAAUGAGGGAGUAUAGGUGUUACUUCAUUUUAAAAUCAUUGAUGGAAUUUCUAUUGGCAAUUUUAUAGGCAAUAUGACAUGUCAUUAAUGCAAAUAAAAAUACUAAUAGAAUAUUUUUUAUUGGUAUUUUUAUUAUUAUUUGUUAAUUUUCUGGUAAUGAUAUCUUUCUAUGGUUAUUUUGUUUAUUGUAUAGAAAUUAUAAGCAAUUAAAAUCAAGAUCCAAAAAUAAUUUAUAACAAUAUGAAAUAAGUCUACAAAAUUUAUUUCUUUAAUGAAAACUUCUUUCACUUAUUCAUUGUGUUCUUUUUUUUUUACAAGAUAUUUUUUAUUAUAAGCUUUAUUUUUCAAAUAAAAGUUUAUUAUAAUCUUAGAAGCAAGUAUUAUUAAAACCAAACAAUAAAAUAAUGAAUUGAUAAUUUUGACAUAUAUUAAAAAACAUAACAACAGUAAUGUUGAGAUAAAUUAUAUAGAAUUUUACAUCAAAAAUUAAAAAUAUAUAUUGUAUGUGCGUAUAGAAAAUUAUCCAUUUAGGUUCAUACAUAAUUAUUUAUAAAAUAAUAUUAUCAUGAAUAACACUAAUAUCAUUUUAGAAGAAUGUUUAUCUAAACAUCAUUUAAAUAAAUUCAUUUAAAAAUAAUUCAAUUAAAAAAUAUGAAAUAAAAAAAAUGAAGGGUCAUACAUUCAUGUGCAAGACAUGCGUGAAUAGCAUAAAUAAAACCCACAUGGCCUUGGAAAACCAGGCUCGGGUGCUCGGUUUAUAUUUUUUUGACAAUUUUCAAUUUUCUCUCUCCAAUAUGGCUUAAAUCUGGCCACCCAAAAGCUUCCUCUCUCCUCAAAAGUUUUUGACAAUUUUCUCUCAUCUCUCAAGAUUUAGCCAUUAAAAUGUAAAAUAAAUAAAAUUUGAAACUAAAAAGAAAAAUUCAAAAAUAAAAUGUUUUAAAAUAAAAAAAAAUUAAAAUUGAGGGAAUAAAGUAUAGAUUUAUGUGCUUUUUGAACAAUAAACACGGAAAAAGCUAUUAGUUAUUAAAAAUAUAAAACUGAACCAAAACCGGUUCAAACCAACCAGUUUCGGUUCGGUUUUUUAGAACAAAAACUGGUUCAAACCGGUUUGGCUCGGUUUUUCUGGUUUGGCUUGGUUUUUUCCGAUUUGGCCCGAUUUUUUUCGGUUUGGGUUCGGUUCGGUUUUUUCAGUUUCAGACUUAUAAAACUGAAACGAACCGGUCGGUUUUUUUAAAAUUCUAAUCGGUUUAAUCUGUUUUUUUCACGGUUCAAUUUUUUCGGUUAUUUUUUUUUCCGGUUUUCUCGGUUUAAUUGAUUUUUUAAUUUUUUUGCUUACCCCUAGUAAUAUAUAAAAAGUUAAAAAAUAGAGAUGAAUUGUACAAGAGAAAUAAUAAUUAAUUUAUUAACAAUAAUUUAUGAAACGAAAUAAAAACUAUUUGUUAUGUGUUUUGAGACAAAAAAAAAAUAGAUAAAAUGAAAAAAAAAUAUUGCGUAAAGAUUAAACUUUACUUUUCAAAAAAAUUACUCCUUUAAUAAUUCACAUUUUCUGAUAAAUGAAAUCAAACAAGCUAAAAUCCCACAACACUAUUGUUACUUUAAUUGUAGUCCCUUCAUGCUCUAAAAAGUAAAUAUAUAAAGUUUGUGGUUAGAUUAGGACAUGUACUUGAUGAAUUAUCUUUAAUUGCACAAUUAUUAAGUAAUUAAGCUAAUUUUCUCAACAAAAUAAGUAAAUAUAUUCAACAAUUUGUAAUACUUUUCCUUUUAAGUAUUUCCAGCAAGCACUGAAUUUUUAAUUAUUUUUUUUCCAUUGAUGCUGUUUUUUAUAUGUUUGGAAUUGUGGUAUAAAAUGUUUUUAAAAAUAGUUUUUUUCUUGAAAAUAUAUUAAAAUUAAUUUUUGAAUUAGUCUAAUUUAAUUUCAGAAAUGACCCAUAAAUAUAUUUAUAUUUAGUAGAACAAGCUUCAUGACAAAAUAAAAAAAAAUCAAAUUACUCUAAUUUGAAUAUAAGAAGUGUAAUAUCUAUCCAAAACAAGUUAUAUUCCAAAGCAUCAGCUUUUUGAUGAUGUCAUGGAAAGAGAUCAUGCAACGAGUGAAGGAGCGUGGAUUACACUUCUUGUGAGGGAGGGUGGGAUUGUUCAAGUCCUAUCUUUGACGACGAGAAAUAUAUAAAUAAACCAAUAAAAAGAAAAUCAAAAUGCCCUUUGCCACCUAAAAGGGAAUCCAAGGACUGCCGUCCCUCAUAGUCCCUAAAAAUAUCGACUUUUACUCGUUUCGCGAUAUCAUCAAUAUAUGGAGACAGCACAUUUUCGUGGAUUAAUUAUAAUUUAAAAAUUGUUAUAAUCAUAGUUUUUAAAGCCGGUCUAGUAACUAAUACGGUUCAAAGUCCGGGUUUUGACCGGAUCAUCAAGUUUUAAUCGGGUUACUGGAUUGGCUGGGUUAAUUUUUAUUUUAAAAAAAUUCAAAAUGGCGUCGUUUUAGUAAAAAAAAGUCAACGGGCUGCAACCGAGUUUUAUCGGGUCAACCCGCCGGGUCGACCGGGUCAUAACUUUUCCUAUUUUUUCUUUAACCUGACCCGGUUCUAGCUCCGGAUCUUGAAUCAACCCGCCAGACCAGGCCGAGUUUUAAAAUUAUGAUUCAAAUGAAAUAAUAAUUGGUCUGUUAAAUAAUAAUAAUAAUAGGUGGUAUCCUAGUGUUAGUUUCAGGGUUUAAUGACAAUAUUCAAGCCGUAUCAAUUUUUAAUAAAGAUAUCCUUCAUUGUUUACCUACUACUAUAAUUAUUAUUGAAAAAACUGGAAGGCAUUAGAAAAACACAGUUUCUUGUGUGUUUCAAUCUUUUCUUUAUUGCAUUGUAUAAUUAUAUAUAUAUAUAUAUAUAUAUAUAUAUAUAUAUAUAUAUAUAUUAAUUUUUUUAUUUUUUACACCAAUAUAUAAAAAAGACUCAAAAAAUAUAAAAAGAUUUAAUUUGAAUCUUGAAAAAAUAAUUUUUUUAAAAAAAUAUAGUUGGACCGCAAUACUAGACACCACUUAGUUUAUUUAGAAUUAAACUUUAUAUUUUGUUUCGGUGAACUUUGUAAGGAUUAUUUUUUGCAAUGUUCAAAAUAGAUUCCGGCAUUAAAUUGAUGCUUGAUUUGAUAAAAUUAUUAUUUUAAUCAAAUAUAAUUAGAACUUUGGGGACCAAAAUUGAAGCUGGAGUAUUCUGUUUAAUGUUUGUUAAAAAAUAUACUAAUAUUUAAAAGGUAAAGAAAUAUUUUUAAAUAAAUUUAUAAAAAAAUAAAAAGUAAAAAAAUCAUCAAGUCACUAGACUCUUGUUUCAGAACCCAACACUAACUCAACAAACAUCCACCAACAAUAAAUAACUUGUGAAUAAUCUUAGAAAAUAAUUUAGACAAGUAAAUAAUAUGUGUAAAAUAAAUUUAGAAGAAAAUAUAUAACAAAAGUAAACUUUUGUUUGAAAAAAUACAAUAAUGAUGAUUUCUAUCUUUCCUUGAGCAUAGUCAAUCAUUUACUUUAAUUUUUGAAACUAUUAUAUAUUUUAAGAUUAUUCUAUUUAAAGAACUAGAUGAUGACUAUAUUUUCUAUAUAUUAUUUUUAAUUUUUGAAUGUAUUAUAUUUAUAUUAGACGCAACAAGUAUAAACAAUAUUUAAUAAUUGAUUAUUAUACUUUUAAAGAAUUGCAUAUUGCUUGAGAAAAUGAUUGAUCUGAGUGUAAAUUGCUUAGUUUUUUUGUUGUUGUUAAAAAUAGGCCAUGCAUUGUUUUGUUUUGUUAAAAAAAUAAAGAAGUUUCCUUUUAUAUUUUCAUAUGUUUGCUCUGUUUUGCCAAAAAAAACAAGUAAAAAUGACUGGGUUUUAAAAGCAUAACAAUAUCAAACAAAAACUAUGAUUUAUUAAAUUUGAUGAAUACAAAGUUUAUCUAUCUAAAAUGUCCCCGGUAAAAAAAAAUAGCUUGAAUAAAAGUUAAUUCUUUAUUUUCUUACAAACAACAUUCUUAUUUUUCUUACCACCAUAUACAUUUACUAUAUUAGAUUCCAUGAUGAUGAAUCAGUGCAUUCCAUGCUGAAAUCCAUUUUCUUUUAAGGCACAUGAUUAGAGAGAUCAAAAGAAAAAAGACCCAAUAUAAAAACUUAACAAAAGUUAAAACAUGUGAAAAGAGGGUAGGAGAAGAUAUCAGAUUCAAUAUCAUUGGACUCGGCUAUGCGUCCAACCCAAACGCUCAUGAGUCUAGUAAAAUACUAGGUUUGAACAUCCUUGGACCUAGGAUUACUUCAGAUCCAAGCAUCCAUAGUGGGAAUCUAGGAUUAUUAUAUCCCUACACCCUAACUACGCAAAAAGUCAUUUAAGAGUCGUUUAUACAUCAAUCAAUUUUAAUGUUGAUUAUAAGGGUUGAUUUCAUCUACAUUAAAUAUUGUAUACAUAAUGAUAUAGGACCGCUUUCUAUAGACAUAUGGUACUCCCAUCAAUAUUAAUGUUGUGUAAGGAAACACUUACAUCAAUAUUAAUGUUGAUGUAAUGGUUUCCCUCCCUACCUGGAUGUGAAGAGAAAAAAAGAUCUAUGACCCCUCAAAUAAGAGGAAGAAAGUUCAAGGUACAAAAAUUAUAAAUACUCUCUAAACAACCAAGAUAAAUGGUUCCCAAUCUCCAAUCUCUUGUAACAUAUUAUCAAUAUUUAUCAUACAUGAAUUAAAAAAAAAUCUUAUUUUUAGAAUUUAAUACUCAUUUAUUAUAAAAUUGUUUUUAUAAAAAAUCAUUGAAUUAAUCAUCGAAGGGUCUCUGUAAGUCCAAACCUUUGUCACCAAUCUUGUGUGCUCCGAGUUAUAAAAAAUAAAAGAUUUUAUACUGUGUUUUGAAAAAUUAGUCGAAGUGCAUGUAAACUAACCCGCAUACCCAUAAUUAAUAAAAUAAAAAUAAAUAAAUAAAUAAAUAAAUAAAUGCAACAGUCACACAUACAAACAAUUCAUUAAAAAAAUAUUAAUCGGAAAGGUUAGUUUCAGGGCAUAAAUUGUGUUACAUAAAAUUAUGAUUUUUUUUAAAUUAUAUAUAUAUUUUUAAUGUAUUUGGAUUGUUUUAAUAUUAAAAAUAAAAUUUAAAAAAUAAAAAAUAUUAUAUAUCGAUAUAUAAACUUUUUAAAAAAUUGACCGGCAAUUCAAAAUAUCGAGGAGCAAGCAAGAAAUGAGAAGAGAAAUUGAAAGUAGACAUGACACCACUACAGCCCACCCCCAGUCAAGAGAAGAAAGAGCAGGAGACUAAUAAAAUAGACUGAGACUAUACGCCACACUGACACCCACACCCUAACCCCUACCUUUUCCCUUCUCCCUCCACAGCCAUUACAAAUACUACCCAACCCCCCCUCCCGUUCUGUCUUUCUCUAGUAAUUAACCCCACCCGCUUCCCCUUUUCAUCUCCCUCUUCCUUUCUAUCUCCCUACAUGAGAGAGAGGUAGAGACGGGUAUAGUUUUCAAGAGAUGGGCAAGUAUAUGAGGAAGGCUAAAACGACAAAUGAUUUAACCGUGGUCGACUUGAGUUGUGGUGUCCGUACCCGAGCCAAAACCCUAGCUCUCAAGAAACAACAAGCCCUCAGAUUGCAUGCUUCCUCUGCCUCUCCUCCUCCCCCCUCGUCUCCCGCCGGCUACCUCCAGCUUCGCAGCCGCCGUCUUGAGAAGAAACCACCUCCAGUUCCAUCAUUGCAUCAUGGCUCCCCGCGAAGGCAGCAGCAGAGACUGGGUGGUCAGAACAAUAACAAAUUGGGGCAGCAAGAAAGCCCUAGCCCUAUUUUGAAACCGAGUUCGCGGGUGGAUAAAGAUUCCGGGUCGAGUCAAGAGAGAGAAGGGGGGGAGAGUAAAGAGGUUGAAGAGAAUAAUAACAGCAAUAGUAAAGACUUGGGUUCUUUUGGAGAUAAUGUUUUGGACAUUGAAAGUAGAGAUAGGUGGGUUUUCGUACUUUUCUUUAAUUUCUUGAGAAGUUUGAAAUGCUUUCCUUUUUCUUUAUUAUAGGGUUUUUUUUGUUGUUGAAAUUCCGAGUAAUGGUAAAAUGGGGGGACGUUGAAGAAGUGUAUGCGUCUGCCUUUUCUUUUCUUAAAAAAAUUGCUUUUGGAAAAAUUCGGGGCUUUUCUUUUUUCUUUUUGGUGUUUAAUUUUAGGGCUUUCCUGUUUGGUUGAUAAGUUAAUGGAAGGAAAGAGGGGUAAUCGAGGUGGGUUUUCAUUUUUUUAUUUUUAAAAUCGGGUAUAGUUUGGGGAUGGGGAAAUUUGUGUAUUAGUGUUUGAUUGCUGAGAAAAUGAGAGAGAGAGAUGAAAAAUAGAAAAGUCGUGUGUUUCUUGGGGGUUUGAAUGAGUUUUUCCAUGCCUGUGCUUUGUUAAUUGCUGAGAGUGAAAGAGAAGAAUCGUGACAUGUUAAAGCCUCAAUUUAACUUCGUUCCUGUUUUGGGUUUGUCUCCCUCUUUUCUGGCUGUGUGAACUUUUUAAGGUUUUCUUUCAUCUAUUUGGUUUAGUUUAAAGCUUUAGUUGUAAUAUUGGGGGCUUGAGAAGACUAUAAUUUGCAUUUGAAGAGGAAUUGUGGCAGCCUUUUGGGUGGUUAAGCUGUAACUUAAGCUUCAUUUCUGUUAAAACAAAACUCGUAGCUAUAAAGAAGAGAAUUAAAAUUUAUUUCAUUCCAUCCCCAAUAAUUGCUUGACAUAAAUAAGAGAUUUUCUGCUUUACAUAUAGAUAGUUGGAGUUUUUUCCUUUUUAAAAUAAGAACAAAUUGUGGUGGAAUCUUUUUCUGAAGCCUUACCUUUUAUAUUUUAAAGUGAUUUUCUUUAUAAGAAUUUUGCUUCCCUUUCUGUUUGGUUUCUGAGAAAAUGCGGUGUUGAGAAGAAAUUUAAGAUGUUGGAUAUACCUCAAGACUCUUAGUACUCUAGACCCAUGAAACUAAAACCACGCUACCAAUUUCUCUAAUUCUCUUUCAAGUGCUUUAAACAUCUUCCUUCAUGUGUAGUUUUUUUUUCUUCACUGAAGUGUGAUUUGCAUCUAGGGGAAUUAAUGCCCUAACUUUGUUUCGUGGUUUUAAUGAAUUAUUAACCAUCUUCAUGGAUAACAGGAUUCGUAUGACUUCAUUGCAUUUUGCAGGUCUCUGAUUAAAAAUUCCAUGAUUUUGUCUGCCUAUCUGUUUACUGCACUUUACACUGAACAUGCUUUACAGUUCUUGCUAGUUGCUGUUACUUCAAUUUGGUUGUUACUAUGCAGGCCCUUAUUAUAUGUGUAUCAAAACAAAAUAGUUUAACUUGUGUCCUCUUCUUGUAGUGCUCUCAGACAUGGAUGCCAUUGCAUUAUUUUAAUCAAAAGAAACAAAGCUGUUCCAUUGGUUCUUCCAACAACAAAUGCCUCUGCAUUUUUUAAGCAAUAUUAUUAUUGUUUGGUGUUUUUAUUUUGAACAUAAAUAUGCUUAGUGUGUGUUUGUCUUGUUAUAAGACUUGGUUUUUAUCUAUGCUUGGACACAGGAUGCUCUAACAGAAACUCUGAUUUGAUUCAAAGCCUAAAGAAUGUUUCUGUCUUAUUUGCUUCAUGUAAUGAGGAUGGGAUAUCUAAAGUGGUUUUCUACUCCUUCCUUGAUCCUUUGGUGCUUGUUACUAUCCUCUACAUAUACGAAAAUUGAAUAUGGGAAAUACAAGACCUCAUUUUGGGUAUUUUCUGUUGUAAUUCCCGAAAUUUGUGAAGUUUAUUUCUUAGUAUUUUGUUGCUUGAGGUACAUCAUAGUAAAAAAUGGUUUGUUGCUUUAUGUGGUGGUUCGAAUAUUUCUAGCGUUUUAAGCGAUUGGUUAUUUUUAUGAUUGGGAGGUUCCUGGCACCCUUUGCAGAAUGUACGUGGCCUGCAAUGUGUUAAUGGCUUGGAAAAUCUUAAGUUUUCAAUUGUUUACAUGCUGACACGAUUUAUGUCUCCUUUUUAAUGUUAUUUGCAUGCGACUUACAUCAUCAUGCGCAGCAGUUGUUUCUCCUCAUUUCAUUAUGCUAUAUGUUAUUUUCCCUUAGGAUACAUAUUCACUGUGCCCAUGUCAUUUUUAUCUUCUUUGUCACAGGAGCACUAGGGAAUCCACUCCUUGCAAUUUAACAAGAGGCACAGAAGACACAAGAACCCCUGGUUCUACUACUAAGCCUGCUAGCCCAACUGAAAGUAGCCGGAGAUUACAGAACUCAAUGCAAAGACGCAUCCCAACAACCCGUGAAAUGGAUGAGUUCUUUGGCCCAGCUGAAGAAGAGCAGCUAAGGCAAUUCACUGAGAAGUAUGUGCCUCCCAUCUAUUUGCUUAUCUCAUUUGAAUGAUUGCUUAGGAUCUUUGGACUAUCUUGUAAUGUUUCUGCUGCGAAGUUUACAUCCUCUUAGCUGAUAGAAAUGCUGAUUUUUGGCAGGUAUAACUUUGACCCUGUUAGUGACAAGCCGCUCCCUGGACGUUAUGAAUGGGAGAAAUUGGAUCCCUAGAAGACAUUAGCAUUCCAUCAGGACAUUUCCUGCAGACUGAUGAUUGAUCUUGUGCUUAGAAUUUUAGAAGUAGCAGGAAUUAGUAGUAGUUCUACCGGUGGUGGUGUUAUUUCCAUUUUCCAUCACCUCUUCUUUUAGUUGUAAAGAAAGUAGGUUUGUCAAACAUGUGUAGACUAAUGGUCUGUAACAUAACAGGGGGUUAUGAGUCACACAACAAAAUACAAACCAAGGUCCUAUGUCUAACAGAUCUUCUGAGAGGGGAAGUGAAGAAGAUGUAGAUUUAGGCUUCAGGCAAUUAGGUCAGUCGCUCUGGUACAGAAAUUUACUAGAUUUUCUUUUUCACUUAGUACUGUAUUUUCCUCCCCUUAUUUGUCUAUACUUGUACUGAUGCAACUUCUAAAAACUACGUGGAAUAAGCAUGACCCUUUUCCCCUCUUUAUUUUUUUUGUCUAUAUCUCUGUCAUCUACUGGUCUCUGCACAGUUGAAUUUUGGCUGGUUUGUAUCCAUGUGAGACGGUGCAUCGAACUUCGGCUUUUGAUAAGAGGCUAAAUAUUGUUCAUAACCGACCAGUUAUUUUAACUUUUUUGCUAGAAUGGAUGGGUGGUGGUUGUGGUAGGGUAGCUCAUUUGGAGUCUUUAGAUGUUUUGAAAGAAUCUUGUCAUGUCAUCAAGUUCCACUUUUCACUUCAAAAUUGUAAUCUCCUGUUCAAAUUUGUGCAUCCUGAGGUAGGUGAAUGGAGUUAUGUAAGAACUUUGCAAGGUGCUUUUGUGGAAGGGGACUGGAAAUGGAGAAAUAAGCUUGAUUCUACUGUGUUGCUUUUUUUAUCUUGUCAUCCGUCUGAACGGGAAGAUUUGGUGUCAACACUUGACAAUAAGGAAGUCUUGAUUGUAUUUUCCUUCGGGGCUGCUAAAAUGGAGGUUGAAAAGAAUCAUUAAAAGACUUUGAUAUCUCAAAACACGGGCGUGAACAGAUAACAAAAUAUGAAAUCUCUAGUGUUGUUGUUGUUCUUGUCAAUGGUGGUGGCCAGAAAAGUCGAAAAUCCAUCUUGUUGAGAGGGAGCCAUGGAAUCCUAGCAAUAGAGCAUGCGUGGGUAGCAAGAAAGUGAAUGAUUUGCCUAAUCCUAAAUGGAGAUAGUCAAUAGAGAUGCCUUUUUCUUAUGGAAUAUAAGGCAAUUUGGUCACACCUGUAAUGAUAGGUUGCUGUGAUUAGAAAACACAUAUCGGUGGUUAUAGUGGUGGUGGAUGUGCCUUUAAAUGGUUGAAAGUUUGAAACCAAGGAAUCUUCAAUUCCCAAUAAGCCUUUAUUUUAUUUCAAAUCUUUGAUCAAAUCUUCAAAUGGGCACUUAAUUUCUUUGUUGAUUUACAAAGAGGGACGGCAAUUGCAAGGAAACUACCUUAAACUUAACUGCAGUUAUGUCCUCUACAUGUUUGUUCUUGCCUUGUUUUGAAAAUACUUAAUUUUUUUUUUAUAUUUUCAUAUCAUUUUAAAACAAUACCAAACUAGCUCCUCUUGUUAAAUUCCAUGCAAGAUUCCAUGUUUAAUGUUUUGGCAAAUCUAGCUUUUUUAUUUUUUAUUUUUUUUAUAAAGAAGAGCAAUUGUACACAUUAUAGAAUCAUUUUAGGACAUAUUGUUAUUAUGGUAGCUGUUUUUUUUAAAUAUUAUAUAUAUAUAUAUUUUUUUUUCAAAAACAUUUUUACACAGUAAAAACAAAAGACAAUAUCUGUGCAGAUACAGUGUCCUCGUUUUUCAGAAAUGGGUGGACCCCAUUAUUGAUUUUUUUUAUAUAUACUAAAAACCUAGAGGUGGUGGGUAGGGGUGAUGGUACUAUGGUAGACUGGUUAGACAGGGUGACCCAUUGUGUGCAUGGUUUUGGAUCCAAGGUUGAAUGAAGCUGUAAAAUUUCCCACGCACGGACUGUCUCUUUGUGGGCUUUUGAAGAUACUCAGGGUAGCAUUCUCGAGGCGAGGCCUGCCAAUUUGCAGAAAUUGCCAGACAUUUUGUACCAAAUGUUGCCUAGAAGCAGAAAUAUGUUACACAUGUGUUUACAAGCUGCCGAUUCUACAGCAAAAGUGGUCCUAGAAGACUUUCUGCUAGAUUGAUAAUGACCCCAUCUGAAGCUUUUCAAGGAAAAAAAAAGGGUAGCUCGGGAGAUCUGCAAUAUUUACCACCCCAACAACCCCUCUUCUUCAACUAGUGGGGACUGCAUUUCUGUAAAGACUAUUCAGGAGUAAUAUGGAACUUUUGAACAGCAGAAAAUCUCAUUGCAUCAGCAAAAGAAAAUCUCAUCUGAAUCAUUGUGUGUUCCCUUGGCCAACGGCUGCUUGAAUCGCAAAGAAACAACCGCCCCAUUGAGUUAAUGAAAUCACUUGAGAGCUCCGAUCAUUUUCACUCAUGAAGUAUGGCGAUUGACGAUUCAGUUUGUUUGACCAGUAGUGUAUAAGAUGUUCAUUAUGGAAACAGGGCUGCUGCUAGGGGUUGCCAUGCAUGUCACCGGCGACUGCCUCUUUUUUAGGCCAUCAAUGGCCGGCAUGCAGUAGCAUCUCUAUUGGCACGUGAAGCGCACAGAUGAGCUACAUGAGUUAGUGAUGACAGGCUGCAUGACUCCGAUUGGUACCUGCUGGAGAAUAAUCUCUAACCAGACGGCAGAUUUUUUUAAAUGGUUUUCUUGAGAUACCAAUUCCUUGAUAAAUGAAUCACAAUGUGCUAGCAUUUCAUUCAUAGGGAAAAUUACCUAGGUGUGGAAUUGUUGUCUCAGGAGGAACGCGUUGUCACAUCAGGUGUGGAAUCAGCAACCUAGGUGGGCACCAACUAUUGAUUUAUCGAAUUAAAUAAUAUUUUUUAAAUGCUUAUUUGAAUAAUUAAUUUGAUAUUAAUUUCUUUACUUAUGCAAUGAAUACACAACCUAG